UGGAAUAAACUUUAUGAAACGUAAACAAUACCUUUUAGAAUAUCUUUUUCAGAAUAAAUUUUCAGAACAAGUUUUCUGGAACACAAUUCAUGUGUUCUGGAUAGGACUUUUUAGAACAAUUUUAUUUUGUGCUUUUCUUUUGUGAGGGAGAAACGGGGUAUUUUGGUCAUUUCAUCCAAUUGGGAGGUGCAGGUUAAAAAUGGGGAGUGCAGGUUAAAAAUGGGGAGUGCAGGAAGUAAUUAUCUUUAAAAAAACAUCUUGGGACAUAUAAAAGAUUU
RNAcentral lists this long non-coding RNA (278 nucleotides) under Phaseolus vulgaris (common bean). Its description in RNAcentral is "long non-coding RNA (PVUL_LNC003744)". Lineage: Eukaryota; Viridiplantae; Streptophyta; Magnoliopsida; Fabales; Fabaceae. The record is from RNAcentral.